AUUGAACGCUGGCGGCAGGCCUAACACAUGCAAGUCGAGCGGAUGAAGGGAGCUUGCUCCUGGAUUCAGCGGCGGACGGGUGAGUAAUGCCUAGGAAUCUGCCUGGUAGUGGGGGAUAACGUCCGGAAACGGGCGCUAAUACCGCAUACGUCCUGAGGGAGAAAGUGGGGGAUCUUCGGACCUCACGCUAUCAGAUGAGCCUAGGUCGGAUUAGCUAGUUGGUGGGGUAAAGGCCUACCAAGGCGACGAUCCGUAACUGGUCUGAGAGGAUGAUCAGUCACACUGGAACUGAGACACGGUCCAGACUCCUACGGGAGGCAGCGGUGGGGAAUAUUGGACGAUGGGCGAAAGCCUGAUCCAGCCAUGCCGCGUGUGUGAAGAAGGUCUUCGGAUUGUAAAGCACUUUAAGUUGGGAGGAAGGGCAGUAAGUUAAUACCUUGCUGUUUUGACGGUACCAGCAGAAUAAGCACCGGCUAACUUCGUG
This 484-nucleotide ribosomal RNA is filed under the name uncultured bacterium. RNAcentral describes it as "partial 16S ribosomal RNA". It matches the Rfam family "Bacterial small subunit ribosomal RNA", at positions 30 to 507 of the family's 1533-position model. The record is from RNAcentral.